UAACGAGUUGUUUAAAUUUACGAAACCAUUUUCGUAUUUUUUAACUCGCUUCGUUCGUUGAAAUUAGUUACAACCUUCAAAUUUUAGAUGAUGUUUUGUGGUUACUCCGAUUUUGGUGUUGUGACAUUUUCCAGUACAAACUAUUGAAGUUUGUAAUAUUUGUAAUGUUGGUGGCCAACACAGUGCUUAUGGUACUUCAAGGAUAUCAUUUUCUUAUCAAUUUCAACAGCCUUUACUUCAUAUCGUAUUCACCUUACUGGUUUGGAUCAUUUUUUGUAAUAUACAUUCGAAAAACUUGAGUGCAUCAUAAUAUUUUAAAUUACAAUUGAAAAUUUGUAGAUCAUUCUCUCACUUACAACGUGUUUAACUAUAUCAAACAUUGGACCUGAAGGAAUUGAAUCAGCAACGCUGUGGCAAAUAAAAUCCACUGAUCCAAAAUUAAUCAAUCGAAUCAAAUUUCAAGUUAAAUUAAUCACAGCUUACAUCAUUGUUAACACAGUUAUUGCACUAAUUGCUGGUCUUGCCCACACUUUUCCAUCAAAAAAUGCAGAAGAGAUAUGUUAUGUGUACAAAAUCAUUGAAAUUUAUGUUCCAAAAUGGAAAACUGAACUUUGUUGGAUGUAUAAAGCGAGCUACAUUGUUAUGGCACUUGCACUACCAGCCACCUGCAACCAAGUGGUGUACGGGGCAACUCACAUACGAUUUCAGUUCUAUUUGGUUUUGGACUGGAUAAGGAACAACAUUAUUGAAACGGGUUGCGAUGAUUUAAAAUUGCCCAACGACAAGGAUUUUCAGCACAAAAUUACAAAAAACAUUAUUGUUAUUGUAAAACGUUACACAGAAUUUCACAGAACUUUUCAAGCAGUUAACCAGCGAAUAGCAAUUUAUAUAUUGUUGUAUGCUGUUAUUGGAGGGUUGCUUGGCAUAAGCAUCCUUAUGUUCUAUUUUAAGGUUGUUUCCUUUGUUUUAGUUUAAUUUUUUAACGCAAUGAUUCAAUUUUCAGACACUCUAGUGAUAAGUGACUAUCUUCACGCUGGUACUUUAACAGUAGCAGCAAUUACUACAUUUAUGGCAACAGUAACAUCUGGACAGAAACUAGAGGAUAUUGUAUGUAAUAAAACUACAAGGGCGAAAAAUAUUUUUUCUAAUCUCGUUACCAAAUGUCACUUAUUAACGGCCGAGGUUAAAAUUAAACUGCGGGAAUGCAUUUUCAAUUUACGAAGGAAAUAGUAAAAACAUUGUAAUACAUGAAAAGCCUGUUAUUGUUUAACUCGCUGCGCUCACUCGUUUUGGCAAACAUUGUGCUCGUUAAACAAAAACAGUCUUUUCACAACUAUUGCAUUCUAGUUUGAAGAACUUCUCUACACAUGGUGCUCGGUUCCUUGGUAUUUGUUCAACAAAUGGAAUAAACAAAUUUACCUCAUGAUUAUGGUUAAUAUCAAACCGAUCAACUUUCGAUUCACGGAAAAUUCCAGCGUCAACUACAACUUAGGAGCAGCAAUUGCGAAAACAAUAUAUUCGAUGUUAUCUCUUCUUACACAAAUGAGUGACAAGGAUGUCAGUACUUUGUGAUCAAUGAAAUAACAAACACAGUACACACUAUUGUUAGUUCCUGUUUUUGCAAUAAAGAGAUCGACACUUGACCUGUUACUUAAAAUCAAUUAAAUUACACCAAAAAUAUGCAA
Molecule: long non-coding RNA, 1685 nt
Organism: Tribolium castaneum (red flour beetle)
Lineage: Eukaryota; Metazoa; Arthropoda; Insecta; Coleoptera; Tenebrionidae
Exons: 3
Source: RefSeq, a predicted model, not a curated record